CUACGGGACGCUGCAGUGGGGAAUAUUGGGCAAUGGGCGCAAGCCUGACCCAGCAACGCCGCGUGAGGGAAGAAGGUUUUCGGAUUGUAAACCUCUGUCCUUGGGGACGAAGAAGUGACGGUACCCAAGGAGGAAGCUCCGGCUAACUACGUGCCAGCAGCCGCGGUAAUACGUAGGGAGCAAGCGUUGUCCGGAAUUACUGGGCGUAAAGGGUGCGUAGGCGGCAUAUUAAGUCAGGUGUGAAAUACUCGGGCUCAACUCGGGGGCUGCAUUUGAAACUGAUAUGCUUGAGUGUGAGAGAGGAAAGUGGAAUUCCUAGUGUAGCGGUGGAAUGCGUAGAUAUUAGGAGGAACACCAGUGGCGAAGGCGACUUUCUGGCUCAUAACUGACGCUGAGGCACGAAAGCGUGGGGAGCAAACAGGAUUAGAUACCCCAGUAGUC
RNAcentral lists this ribosomal RNA (441 nucleotides) under uncultured bacterium. RNAcentral's name for it is "partial 16S ribosomal RNA". It matches the Rfam family "Bacterial small subunit ribosomal RNA", at positions 339 to 795 of the family's 1533-position model. The record is from RNAcentral.